Molecule: ribosomal RNA, 438 nt
Filed under: uncultured bacterium
Lineage: Bacteria
Description: partial 16S ribosomal RNA
Rfam family: Bacterial small subunit ribosomal RNA
Source: RNAcentral
CUACGGGAUGCAGCAGUGAGGAAUAUUGCACAAUGGGGGAACCCUGAUGCAGCAACGCCGCGUGGAGGAUGACGCAUUUCGGUGUGUAAACUCCUUUUAUAUGUCAAGAAAAUGACGGUAGCAUAUGAAUAAGCACCGGCUAACUCCGUGCCAGCAGCCGCGGUAAUACGGAGGGUGCAAGCGUUACUCGGAAUCACUGGGCGUAAAGGACGCGUAGGCGGGUUGGAAAGUCAGGUGUGAAAACCUACAGCUUAACUGUAGAACUGCACUUGAAACUUCUAAUCUAGAGUAUGGGAGGGGGAGAUGGAAUUAGUGGUGUAGGGGUAAAAUCCGUAGAUAUCACUAGGAAUACCUAAAGCGAAGGCGAUCUCCUGGAACAUUACUGACGCUAAGGCGUGAAAGCGUGGGGAGCAAACAGGAUUAGAUACCCGAGUAGUC